GCUGCGUCUGACGUAACAGCGUAGCCAUUUCUGUAUUUGACGCAGUGCACGUAUAAGUACUUAGCGUCGCGAGCUGUGAGAAGGAAAACAAUCUAAAAUUUGUGAAGAUUUAUGAUGCUUUGUUAACUAAGAAAGCUUAUUUCGUUCAGUUCUGCAUCCUGUCCAUCACUGCAGUCCUGAGGGUUGCCAUUUUAUAACUGUAAGCGGACCUACACUCAUCCAGAGGCUCUGAACAACCACCUGAAGGAUCAUCACAAGACCCCUGCACAGUCCCUGCCUGUCCUGGGUUUUGCCUGUAAAGACUGCAUUUGUUAUUAAAAAGGAUAAACCAAUAUGAAGACCAGAGAGCUGUCUAUGGAAGAAAAGCAAGACAUUGUGAAGCUGAAAAAAGAGGGAAAAUCGAUCAGAGCCAUUGCACAGACAUUGGGCAUAGCCAAUACAACGAUUUGGAAUGUCCUGAAAAAGCAAGCAACCACCGGCGUACUAACAACCAGACAUCGAACAGGUCGGCCAAGGAAAACAACAGCAGUCGAUGACAGAAACAUUGUGCGAGCUGUGAAGAAAAACCCACAAACUACAGUCAGUGACAUCACCAACAACCUCCACAGGGCAGGGGUGCAAGUAUCACAAUCCACCGUGCGAAGAAGACUUCGAGAGCAGAAAUAUCGAUUCCAUUACAUAAGUUGCAAACCACUCAUCAGCAGUAAAAAACGGAAGGACGGAUUGGAAUUCGCAAAGAAUACAGAGAUGAGAGAUGAGGAUUUAAAAGAAGAGCAGUUUGUUGAAUUGUGGCAGCAGACAGAUUGUGUCUAUAACGUCUCAUCAGACUUGUAUCAGGACAGGACGAAAACAGACACGACAUGGAAAGAAACAGAAGAUGGAUUACAGGGUGUGUAGCCAGCUAACUGGCACGCAAACGCUCUUUACAUCAAGUUUAUUUCCUGUAAUCACUACAUGAAACUAUGUUUAUGCUUUCCAUCAUUCCAGUAUGGCAGAACAUAGUAACUAUCUUCACACUAACUUGUUUAAUCUGACAUGAAGAACACAUGUUAUUGCACAGUCUGUUACAGUAUUCGUAUUCUUGUACUGCGUGACAUGUAAAUAUUGUAGAAGACUGCUGGAACUGCACAGUUUUGUGCAUAAACUAAUGAAUAAAUUAGUCUGUAAUGCAUAAAACUUAGUUUGUGGAAGUAAUAAUGAACAUUAAAAGCAACAUGUUAAACACUUUGUGAAACGUUAAAAGUGUUCUUCUCUUAACUUGUGCUGAAGCUUUAACUCUCUACCAUAAUGUACAAUAUAUAAGAGCAUUUCAGUGUAGAAGGGAGAGAUUCUCUGUUACUAGAUGACUACAGACUACUACUACUACUAAUAAUAAUAAAGGAUUGUGUUGAA
Pangasianodon hypophthalmus (striped catfish) is the source of this 1392-nucleotide long non-coding RNA. RefSeq lists it as uncharacterized. The transcript is spliced from 4 exons. Lineage: Eukaryota; Metazoa; Chordata; Actinopteri; Siluriformes; Pangasiidae. The record is from RefSeq and is a predicted model, not a curated record.